GUGGGGAAUAUUGGACAAUGGGGGGAACCCUGAUCCAGCCAUGCCGCGUGUGUGAAGAAGGCCUUUUGGUUGUAAAGCACUUUAAGCGAGGAGGAGGCUACUUUAGUUAAUACCUAGAGAUAGUGGACGUUACUCGCAGAAUAAGCACCGGCUAACUCUGUGCCAGCAGCCGCGGUAAUACAGAGGGUGCGAGCGUUAAUCGGAUUUACUGGGCGUAAAGCGUGCGUAGGCGGCUUUUUAAGUCGGAUGUGAAAUCCCCGAGCUUAACUUGGGAAUUGCAUUCGAUACUGGGAAGCUAGAGUAUGGGAGAGGAUGGUAGAAUUCCAGGUGUAGCGGUGAAAUGCGUAGAGAUCUGGAGGAAUACCGAUGGCGAAGGCAGCCAUCUGGCCUAAUACUGACGCUGAGGCACGAAAGCAUGGGGAGCAAACAGGAUUAGAUACCCUAGUAGUCC
This 451-nucleotide ribosomal RNA is filed under the name uncultured bacterium. Its description in RNAcentral is "partial 16S ribosomal RNA". It matches the Rfam family "Bacterial small subunit ribosomal RNA", at positions 354 to 796 of the family's 1533-position model. The record is from RNAcentral.